GACGAACGCUGGCGGCGUGCCUAAUACAUGCAAGUCGAGCGGAUGAAGGAGGAGCUUGCUCCUCCAGAUUCAGCGGCGGACGGGUGAGUAACACGUGGGCAACCUGCCCUGUAGAUUGGGAUAACUCCGGGAAACCGGGGCUAAUACCGAAUAAUCCACCAGACCACAUGGUCCGGUGUUGAAAGGCGGCCUCGGCUGUCACUACAGGAUGGGCCCGCGGCGCAUUAGCUAGUUGGUGGGGUAACGGCCCACCAAGGCGACGAUGCGUAGCCGACCUGAGAGGGUGAUCGGCCACACUGGGACUGAGACACGGCCCAGACUCCUACGGGAGGCAGCAGUAGGGAAUCUUCCACAAUGGACGAAAGUCUGAUGGAGCAACGCCGCGUGAGUGAAGAAAGGUUCUCGGAUCGUAAAAACUCUGUUGUGAGGGAAGAAACAAGUAACCGGAGUAAACUGCCCGGUAACC
Molecule: ribosomal RNA, 466 nt
Filed under: Bacillus sp. oral taxon C52
Lineage: Bacteria; Bacillati; Bacillota; Bacilli; Caryophanales; Bacillaceae
Description: bacterial SSU rRNA
Rfam family: Bacterial small subunit ribosomal RNA
Source: RNAcentral